GUUUGUAGCUCAGUGGCAGAGCGCUUGCCUAGCACAUAUGAGGCACUGGGUUUGAUACCCAGUAUCACA
This 69-nucleotide transfer RNA is filed under the name Marmota monax (woodchuck). RNAcentral's name for it is "tRNA.Ala". Lineage: Eukaryota; Metazoa; Chordata; Mammalia; Rodentia; Sciuridae. The record is from RNAcentral.